AGAGUUUGAUCCUGGCUCAGGAUGAACGCUAGCGGCAGGCUUAAUACAUGCAAGUCGAGGGGCAUCAGCUUAUAGCAAUAUAGGGCUGGCGACCGGCAAACGGGUGCGGAACACGUACACAACCUUCCUUUAAGAGGGGGAUAGCCCAUAGAAAUGUGGAUUAAUACCCCGUAAGAUAGUGGGAUGGCAUCAUACUACUAUUAUAGUUACGACGCUUGAAGAUGGGUGUGCGUCUGAUUAGGUAGUUGGCGGGGUAAAGGCCCACCAAGCCUUCGAUCAGUAGCUGAUGUGAGAGCAUGAUCAGCCACACGGGCACUGAGACACGGGCCCGACUCCUACGGGAGGCAGCAGUAAGGAAUAUUGGUCAAUGGACGCAAGUCUGAACCAGCCAUGCCGCGUGAAGGAUGAAGGUCCUCUGGAUUGUAAACUUCUUUUAUAGGGGGCGAAAAAAGGGAAAUCUUUCUCACUUGACAGUACCCUAUGAAUAAGCACCGGCUAACUCCGUGCCAGCAGCCGCGGUAAU
This 523-nucleotide ribosomal RNA is filed under the name uncultured bacterium. Its description in RNAcentral is "bacterial SSU rRNA". It matches the Rfam family "Bacterial small subunit ribosomal RNA", at positions 8 to 524 of the family's 1533-position model. The record is from RNAcentral.